Molecule: long non-coding RNA, 335 nt
Filed under: Nicotiana benthamiana
Lineage: Eukaryota; Viridiplantae; Streptophyta; Magnoliopsida; Solanales; Solanaceae
Description: long non-coding RNA (NBEN_LNC009531)
Source: RNAcentral
GGUUGGCCUCUUUGUCUUUAGAUUGGGUAGAGUAUUCGGUGAGCGAUUCCGCAACGGCGAUGGCAUCGUCGAGCGUUUGAACGCCACGCCUAUCAAGCUCGGUCUUGGCCCAAUCCUUGAGGCCAUCUUGGAAGUAAAAGAGCGAAUCCUUGUCGGACAUGUCGCUUAUCUCCAACAUGAGGGUAGUAAACUCAUUGAUGUAGUCCCGCAUACUACCCGAUUGUUUGAGGCGACGUAAGCGCGCUCGUGCUUCCUUUUCCGCAUUGUUUGGGGCGAAUUGCUUUCGGAGUUCUUUAUUGAAGUCGGCCCAAGUGUCGAUGUUGCAGAUUCCCUUG